UACGGAGGAUCCGAGCGUUAUCCGGAUUUACUGGGUGUAAAGGGAGCGUAGACGGUUAUGUAAGUCUGGAGUGAAAGCCCGGGGCCCAACCCCGGGACUGCUUUGGAAACUGUGUAACUGGAGUACAGGAGGGGCAGGCGGAAUUCCUAGUGUAGCGGUGAAAUGCGUAGAUAUUAGGAGGAACACCAGUGGCGAAGGCGGCCUGCUGGACGGUGUACUGACGCUGAGGCUCGAAAGCGUGGGGAGCAAACAGG
This 254-nucleotide ribosomal RNA is filed under the name uncultured Eubacteriales bacterium. Its description in RNAcentral is "uncultured Clostridiales bacterium partial 16S ribosomal RNA". It matches the Rfam family "Bacterial small subunit ribosomal RNA", at positions 524 to 776 of the family's 1533-position model. Lineage: Bacteria; Bacillati; Bacillota; Clostridia; Eubacteriales. The record is from RNAcentral.